GAUUUAGUCGUAAUUUGCACCAGAAUAUAAUAAUCAGCCCUGUAGCAUCAGCUCAUAUGACAAGUGAACCGCUAACCUUGGCUUUUUAAUAGCUGCCCAGAGCACACUGAGCAUGUGCAUGUACAACACUGAAGGCCUGAAUCACUACUGUUAUAGAGAUUCUGAAACUUUAGGUUGUGCCAUAAGCUCAUUAUAUAACUCACAUCAUUUUUACUAAUAUUUGUUUUAAAGGUUUAGUUCUCCAUAAAAAUAAGUGAAAUUGCUGUAAUAAUAUAGCUUUGCAUUCUGUAUAACAUCAUACAAUAUAUAGCAUGCAUUUAUGGGAAUUUUUGCUUUACUGCCCAUUUAAUGGUCUUUACUCACUCUAUAAUACAUUUCUUUUUGUGAGCAUAUCCCUAUACGGAUCCCUUUCCUUUCGCUCCUUGGCAAUUAGAAGAAUGAAGACAUGUCUGAGCUUGCAUUGAUGGAUAGAGCAUUACCCAGGAGUGUAUACAAAUGGCACGUUUGCAUAAGGAGCUGAACAGAAGUGCCAGGCUUUCCCAGUGGCGCAGGGGUGCCCCAAGGGCUAGCUGCCUGUCUCCAGGUAGUUGUGCUAAAUGCAGGUGAUGCACAUUAAGCCAGGGGCCUUGGUGGUGUCCUACAAAUUGUCAGCUUUUCCAUUACUGAAGACUCCUGAAUGUUUUAACAGAAGCCACACCAGAGAACUAGCGGUUUCCAUAUUUGUUUUGCAUUAAUUGUGUGUCACUAUGUUCUGUACACUGUGUGUCAAUUUGACCUUCAUUUUCUAGUUCUGUGUGAGAUUACACAUUCUGUGCUUGCAUCUAAACCAUAAGUAUAUUUAAUGCUGUUUUUGAUUACAUGACAUCGAAUGUGCUUUAUACAGAAUACAGAUUUGUGAAAAUACAACAAAAAACAAUGACUGUGAGUUCUUCGA
Xenopus tropicalis (tropical clawed frog) is the source of this 934-nucleotide long non-coding RNA. RefSeq lists it as uncharacterized. NCBI's taxonomy places the organism in Eukaryota, Metazoa, Chordata, Amphibia, Anura, Pipidae. The transcript has 2 exons. The record is from RefSeq and is a predicted model, not a curated record.